UACAGGGGGUGCGAGCGUUAAUCGGAAUUACUGGGCGUAAAGCGCGCGUAGGCGGCUUUGCAAGUCGGGUGUGAAAUCCCCAGGCUUAACCUGGGAACUGCAUUCGAGACUGCAUUGCUAGAGUAUGGGAGAGGGAAGUGGAAUUUCCGGUGUAGCGGUGAAAUGCGUAGAUAUCGGAAGGAACAUCAGUUGCGAAAGCGGCUUCCUGGACCAAUACUGACGCUCAUGUGCGAAAGCGUGGGGAGCAAACAGG
Molecule: ribosomal RNA, 253 nt
Filed under: uncultured bacterium
Lineage: Bacteria
Description: partial 16S ribosomal RNA
Rfam family: Bacterial small subunit ribosomal RNA
Source: RNAcentral